AGGACGAACGCUGGCGGCGUGCCUAACACAUGCAAGUCGAACGAGGUCCAACCGGUAGCAAUACCGGUGAAGACCAAGUGGCGAACGGGUGAGUAGCACGUGAGCAACCUGCCCCGAAGACCGGGACAACACCGGGAAACCGGUGCUAAUACCGGAUAUCCCCACCGAGUCGCAUGGCUUGGUGAGGAAAUGGAUUCCGCUUCGGGGAGGGGCUCGCGGCCUAUCAGCUUGUUGGUGAGGUAACGGCUCACCAAGGCUUCGACGGGUAGCUGGUCUGAGAGGACGAUCAGCCACACUGGGACUGAGACACGGCCCAGACUCCUACGGGAGGCAGCAGUGGGGAAUCUUGCACAAUGGGCGAAAGCCUGAUGCAGCAACGCCGCGUGAGGGACGAAGGCUUUCUGAGUUGUAAACCUCUUUCAGCAGGGACGAUUGUGACGGUACCUGCAGAAGAACGCCCGGCCAACUCGUGCCAGCAGCCGCGGU
This 486-nucleotide ribosomal RNA is filed under the name uncultured bacterium. RNAcentral's name for it is "SSU rRNA". It matches the Rfam family "Bacterial small subunit ribosomal RNA", at positions 26 to 521 of the family's 1533-position model. The record is from RNAcentral.